UCACCAAAACGUGUUUCUGAGCUUGAAGGUCAAGCGUGGUUUUGAAUAGGAGUUUUAUUUUUGUUUGAUUUGCACAGAUUGUCUCCGGUUGAUUCGCUGAAGCUGGCUAUAUAAAGCUAAAGAUCCCACCUGAUCGCAUCGCCGUUGAUGUUAUUUAUAAUCCUCGUUCCAAUCAUAUCGUGAUAUCGUGUGUCAUAGGAGUUCUUUUCAGGAAUGGUUUUUGUUUGCGCUCGUGUUGUAGUCGUGAACUCUCUCGGUUUGCUGUUGUCUGUGUUUUUGUGAGUCACUUGCACUGAAAUACACACGCCACGAGACCUCAAAUCAUUCACCAUUUCAUCCCACUAUUAACAACAAAAACACGU
Long non-coding RNA from Carassius carassius (crucian carp), 362 nucleotides. RefSeq lists it as uncharacterized. NCBI's taxonomy places the organism in Eukaryota, Metazoa, Chordata, Actinopteri, Cypriniformes, Cyprinidae. The transcript is spliced from 2 exons. The record is from RefSeq and is a predicted model, not a curated record.